Molecule: small RNA, 7690 nt
Filed under: Rattus norvegicus (Norway rat)
Lineage: Eukaryota; Metazoa; Chordata; Mammalia; Rodentia; Muridae
Description: uncharacterized LOC102549347
Source: RNAcentral
CGGGCUUCCGGCGGCGCCAUUGCUCGAGCCAGAGCGGGAGGGCGGGGCGACGCGGUGCGAUGGUUUCGGGUCCGCGGCAGGUGAUACCCGCACGCUGCUUCGUGUGCGCUGUCGUUAGGGCGCCGUGGCCUCGCGUCCGGCGUGGGACUCUGGCGAGGAGACGGAGUGAGUGAGGAAUUCGUACAAGGGACUCUCAACCGCAGAGAGCCGUAGGAAGAAAUGAGGUGGAACCCGCAGACUUUUUAGAGCCUUCUCGCGGCCGAGGAGGGACUCUGGCUUAUUUCCUAACUCACCGUUCACUCGUGCUUUAUAGUUGAACAAUAGUUAAAUAUUUAAAGAUUCAGACAAAGCAGCAGCCGGGCUGGGAUGUGUCCAAUGAACCUUGUUACCAAGGGGGAAAUGCUGCCACUCUGUGGGAAAGAGAUUUUGUUGUUUGUUUUUAAUUUAAGAGCCUAACUUAUUUCACAAAGGAAUGGUCGAUACUUGCCCAAAGUAAACUGUCAAUAAUUAAACUGUCAGGGCAUAGAGAUCCCACAGAAGUACUUGUUCUUCCAAUACAUAAAUAAAGGACUUCAAAAGUCAACAAACAGAAAGGGGUGCGUUAAAUGGGUCUUCUAAUCUACAGGAACUGAAAGAUUAGCUCUGGUUUGGUUGGUGCUCACAUUUUGUGAUUGCUUGCCUGAACUACUUGCUCUGUUUGACCGCCUCUGGCGAAUGUUGCAAGACCUCCUCACUGUUGUGUGCCAAAUAAAGCAGGUUUUUAUUCCUGAGAGACUGUGAGUGUUCUCUUUGAGGGGCAAGCCGAGACAUGUAUGAGUAGUUAAAGUAUAACAACAGUAACCAUUAUUUACCGAGAAGCAGACUUUGGCAGAUAAUCUAAGGAUCUAAAAUACUGCUCCUCGGGUAUAUUGCUAAUGGUUGCAUAUUGUAUUAGCAGCAGUGGUCUUCUUAUUCUUGGGUGAAAACCUGAAGGGUUGCUUAGACCUGUUGCAGAACAAACAGCACAUAACCAGCUUGUAUCAGGGACAUGGUCACUUCAGUAGAUGGUUUCUCACAAGUUCUGCCUCCCACUGUGUUGCUGUUUUAUCUCUAAAGGCCCCAGGGUCCCCACAAGUCUUGGGAAUAAAAGGAAGCACAGUAAGGAACUGAAAAGUACUCACACAAAGGAAAGAAAGAAGCAAGCUUCUUUGGCUAUAGUGUACUGGAGACCUUGGGAUCUUUACGUUCUUGUUUUAGGGAUCAAUCUCCUGGUACAUUAGGCAGACUUGUGCAAACCCAAGAACAGCAUAGAGGUUGCUAUAGAGGACAGCCUUACUGUGGCCCUUCAUUACCUUAACCAAAGAUGGUAAGUAAGAUUGGCUCCCACACCGUGAACUGUUCAAUGGUGAGCAGCUCUUGAGUCUCCAUACUGAUACCCCUUCAGAACUCAUUCACUCUGAGAGCCUUUUCCUCUUAGACUAGAAAGCUUCCUAGUUGACCUCUAGUCAUUUGGGCUCCUUCACAUCAGUAAAUUAGUCUAUAUCUGACCAGUCCUCUAGCUCCUUAUCCUUUCUGAGAGGAAGGGGAGUAGUUGUGGUUUUGUUUGUUUGAGUCUUGCUAUGUAGUGGAGGCUAUACUUGGACCCUGGGUCAUUCUGGUCCAGCCUCUUAAGUAAUGGAAUGAUGGACAUUCACCACCGCUAUUGUCUCUUAACUCGGACUUUAGUGUCUCCCAAAUGUCCUUCAGACAUCGUUUUUAAAUAACAAUAAGUUCUGCCUUGUUCGUAAGUAAAUUUUAGCCAGGUGUAACCCCCUAGACUUGAAAGGUGAAGACAAGCAGGUUAAGAAUUCAAUAUCUUGAUAGGCAUGCAGUGAGUUUGAACCAUUCCAGGCUACUUGAGACCCUGCCUCAGAGAGGAGGUAGGGUGUUGAGGUAGUUCCCAUUGGAGUCCAGACUGGGAAGAGCUGUGUAUUCAAAAUUAAAACAGCUUGCCUGCAUAGGGAACUCUAAAGCGAAGGAAGAUCUACACAGUAUUUGUGAUUACACAAAGCCUUAAAAAAUUGUAAGUUUGCUUUUCUCUUGAGAAGGUGAUGUCUAGCAGACUUGUCAUUCAUUGGUCUCUAAAGUCUUUCUACCUUUGUAAGUACAAAGUUAAGUCUCACUCUAACCGUGUGUCAAUGAAAGGAGCAUGCCCUGAAUAAGAUUGUACUGUAGGGAUGUGAUUUGCUCUGGUUAAAAGGUGCUGAAAGGUCUCUCACCUGUACUUGGCCUUCUGCCCCCCACCCCUAGUUACCCUGUACAUAUAUGACUUCUUCUGGUAGGAUUGGGUUUUAUCCCUGAAGUUUUAUUUUUACAGUUUUGCUUUUCAUCCAAACACAGUGCAAAUGCCUCUCUUCAUCAGCACGUUUGUAACUUUAAGAAUUAAUUGGGCUCGUUAUAUUUUGAAGAGCAUGCUGAAGAAUAGUAAAUUUUAAAGAACCAGCUGAGAACAUUGUGUACCAUGUUCUGAAGUCAGUGCGUCUCAAAUACUGUCGCUAAUCCUGAAGUAAAUCACCCAUCAAAGAUUCAUGUUCUUAGACAGUUAAAGAACAGAAGACUUCAAAAGUAAAGCAGGAUUCUAAACAUACCUUACCAAAAUCCCCACUCGCUCAGAGUCUUGGCAGAAGUGUUUUUGUUUUUCUUUUUCCCUCCACAAAGUAGAGUUAUACUUUUUGAGUCUAUCAUUGCCCACAACUAAAAUCCCCGACUUCAGGAUUUCCUGCUGCCCAGGUGGUGGCAGCAUGUCUCAGAGAGCUAGUGUGCUGGGGAAAGGCUUAACCCCAGCCUGGCUGGCUGGCUGCUUGUUUGAACGUGCAUAACCUGCCUCUGUGCAGAACGCUUUCACUUCUCCAUUUAUCGACCCAUGAGUGAUUCAUCCCACUGUAGCCUCCUCUUCUAGGUACAUUACACUCCAGUAGUUUCUCUUCAGCUUGUUCUGUCUAUAAAGUAUCUAUCAGACUCUCUCUAGAAAACUCAUUAGGACCUAUCAGGCGAGACAGUGUUAUUUCAGUUGUUAUUUUUAACCAGUAUUUGAUAUUAUUGGCAGUACUGACAGUAUCAGUAUUAGCUAAUACUACUAAGAAAUGUCUGCUUAAAAUAAAGGCAUGGUGUCUUAAACUCACAGAUUCAUCAGCGGAGGAGCUUAUGAAAAGCAGAAUUAGGACUCAAACGAACAAGAAACUCCACAGAGAGUAAUGCGAGAUUAUCAUUUAUGGGUCUAAGAAGACAGAGGGUAUAGGACGCUGGCAGUCAAGGCUGAAUUCCAUCCCCAGAUCCCAACUCAUGGAAGAUCAGACACGAAAGUGUAUGUUGGGGGAAGACAAAGACUCGUGCCCCAAUGUAAGACCUUAAGGAUGGAGGGAGAUGCUCCUGUCUGAAGCCAUCAAUUUGCCAGGCUGUUCUCUAAAAUCGGAUGGAUCUUGGGGAAUGACUACGGACCGUUGCUGACUUAACUAAAUAGUACCUGAGUUCUGAGCCUCCAGCCUGGACUCGUGCUUCAGAUAAUGAUACUACCACAAAUACAAAGUCUUCAUCUGUUGAUUUGACGAGUGUCUUUAUCCUGUUCCAGUGGGAAGAGAAACAGUCCACCUUCACCAAAUACAGGCAAGGCUGUUAACUCCUCCACCCUCGAUCAUAAUAAAAAUGAAUUAAUCGGAAUCAUUUGAAUAUCCGUUAUAACAAUGGCCUGAUCCCGUUUAUCGACCAUAUUGUACUGAUUGGAUCUGAUGAACAAAAGACAGCCACUAUGCUGAAUACCUUUGCUCCAGAAGGAGGGGGUAAAUGCUAUAAAGACUAAAAGUUUUCUGACUCUUUAUUUUUUUUUUUAAUGUGUCUGCAUGCUCUUGUGUGUGCAUGCAUGUAGAGGCCAUAGGCAGCCUCAAGUGUCACCCUCAGGAAUGCCAUCUACCUCCUUUGCUUCGCACAGAAGCCGGUUGUCAUCCUCUGAGCUGCUCUAAUGAGAUGCAAGGACCGAAGGAUGGCUGAGGGCCAGGGAGGAGCUCAAUCCUGUCCUUGGGAGUCGGUCUGGUCACGUUCUCUUCUUUCAAGCUGAAGAUGGCACCCGCUCGGCUAAGCCGGUGAAUGUGGACUUACAAGGACUCAGCCAAGUCGUGUCUAGAUUACAGGCCAAAGAUGACGAGGGAAAGAGAGCACCAGGCAAAACAAAUUUUAAUUACAAUAAUGAUGAAUGGUCCAAUAGAGCUGCAAGAUAAUGGAAGGAAGAUGGGGUACCUGAAGCCAGCUCGUUAAAAUCAGAAAAGGUGUCCUCGAGGAAACGUGGGUCCCAGACUUAAGUCUGGAUAGCCGCUGUGUCCCCACAAGAGGAGGAACAGUCAUGGAGAAACACAACUGAACUUUACUGUGGCAAAAAGAAAGGGAAAAUAACAAUUAUGAGGUCUGGACAUCGAGCCUGAGGCUGGUGUUAAAAAAAAAAGAAUGCUUAUGUCUGCAUAACUUAACUUGUAUCUCUUCAGUAAAUCAAACCUGCUAUUCCACUUGACUGCAUCCAAGUCACUUAGAUGUCUGCCAACAAGAACAUUAAUGAACUCAGUAUCUCACGCAGGUUUGUUCAUGUAGAGCCCACAAUUGCUUAGCCUCCCUUCCAGCUGCUGCCUGGGCUCCAUCUGAAGGAGGUGGACAGCUGGACCAGGUCAUCACUUAACCCCAGGAUGUGGUAUGUCCUGGUCUUCAAGUCCUCUGUCUGGUUUUAGGAUGGCAUGGCUUUGAAAAGUAGUAGUUCUUGUCCUGAAAAACUUCAUGAAGCUUUGCUGCGUUCUGCCUUUGACGUAAGUGCCUGUCACAUGCUACAUAACUGACUAUGUUGUACUCUUGCUCUCUGGGGUCUCAGUUUACCUCCAUGGAUUUAUAAUUAAUGGGAUUAUUCCAGAACACAUUGUUACUCCUUAGAUUUCUCCAGAUGAUACGAGACGAUUAAGAGAAAUGCUGAAGUUGAUAUGAACCUAAUUUGUCAAAAAUGUAACAGAAUUAUAGAGAGAUCAGUCACUCCCAAACCUUUCUGCAGGUGGAGUCUAACGAAGGGAGGUCUAUAAAGUUCUAAGUCCCAGGCUGCGUGCCAGACCAAUAAAACCACACUUCUGAGGAUGGGCUUCAGGCAACAGUAGUAUGUUCACUCCACAGGUCAUCCCCAUGUGGAGACAUGUUUGGAAACCACAGAUCUGGACAAGGCCGUUGGCAACACGUCUGUGGCUCGUUCUCCCCUGCCCUGCCCUGCGGUUGGUGGCAUGUUUUUGGCUUUUUAGCAUCUUCCUUAUCUCCAUCCACAGAGAACUCCGAAGUUGGAAGCCUAAGCAGGAACACUGGACCAGACAUGACUGAAAGGUAACAACCAUUAAAGGAGCAAAGACCAAAAAGUGUGUCUGAAGCAGAUGGCUGCACUUCCCGCUGGGUCGAUGCUAAUUUUUAAGCAUGUUACUAAUGACAAAGUUUUUUUUUUUUCCUCUUGCAAUUUCAGACACCAAAGACUUUUCAAACAGUUUGUGAACUCUGUUUAAUGAGAUACAAGUCUCUUUUAUGCUGUAAGCUUUAGACUUCCCUUGCUUUGGGACUUGGUUGGGUUAGUGACUGUGAAACAGGAAGUUCUAUGAGCACGGAGUGAGGACUGUCCACUUGUCAUGUUUAAAGAAUCACAAUCUGAUGCAAACAAAAGAGUAGGUAUUGAAAGCCUUACAUUUCUGUGUAUAGACAAUACAUUACUUAUUUAUAGAAAUAACUACUUAGCUGUCCAGAAACUGAGGGGAAGGGGGUUUAAUUAUAGCAACAAUGUUUACUCGUAGGUGAAUUUACAUGUUGGAGCUCAGAGCUCUAACACUGCACAAAUAAUUGCUUGCUGGCUUGUAAAAUUUUAGGACUAGCAGAGGAACUCAGUUAUUUUGCCAGCUCUACCUUGGGAGAGACAGAUUGAAAUAAAAUUGCAACUCGAGUUUUUGGAUGACUCCAAUUAUCUAAAUAGAUGUGGCCUUAAUUUAAAGAAGUUUAUGAACAAGUUCACUAUAUAUAUUUCACUAUUUUUAAGCUUUAGUCAACUUAGAAGCAAUGGAUACUUCGUUCCUGAUCUAUUGCUUACUUAAAAACUUUCCAUGCUAAUAUGUAAAAGACCUUGUGCUUCAUUCGUCUCUGACUGCUAGCACCGACCGAGCAGUAGAAACCAAAGACUCAUAGCUAUAAUCUAAUCAUUCAUAAUAUCUCUUAGGAAAAAAAAUUCCAGAAACAAUUCUGGUUGGGAAAUGCAUUUUUAAUAUGUAUAUAUAUAUGUAUACUGUACAUAAUUGUUCUGUAUAUAACUGUUUGAGGUGUAUUACUACAAUGGAAUGAGUCCCACAGGAUACUAGAAUUUAGCUUACAGUGUUGGAAGGCCGGAGAGUCCUGACUCCGUGACUAGUUCAUCUCAUGUUGAUUGGCAGGCACCAACAGCUGGACCACAUUAGCUGUUACACACGAGCCAGAACAAAAAGGCCAGGCUUACCACCUUAAAACCACCUCGUAGGCCCUCAGUGGAGGGGGCCCGGGAAGAUGACUUGAUGGUUAGAAGCAUUGGCUGCUUUUCCAGAGCACCCACAUGACAGCUAACAACCAUUUAUAGCUCUAGUUCCAGGGGACCUGAAGCCUUCUUCUGGCCUCUGCAAGCAGUGAACACCCCCUUUGCAUGGACAUACACGAAGGCCAAACACAUAAAAUAAAAUAAUAAACCUUCAGGGGCUCUAGAGCACUUCCUUCCCAAGGCAUGCUCUGCGGACUUCUUUCUUGGAGAUAGUCCAAGGCCUCACCUUUGAAAGGGAUGGCUACCUCUAAAUAUCACCACUGUGAAGACCCAGGGUACACUAUAUGAACACUCACAGAGACACAAACUCUAUUAAGAGUUUCUAUUAUUAGAAAUAAACUUUUAUCCAAGAUGUGGAAAUUACAAUGGUCACCAUUUUUCGUAUAAGAAUUUUAGCUCUAUCAUUACUGAGGAAAUUAUGAACAGCUGGAGUGUGCUACUAGCGUGUGUAGGACAUAGAGUCCAGGGGCCUGUGUCCACAUUGCAGUUACUCUAAUAUCCAGUGGCAUUUUAUUUGUCUUUUGCUAAAAUGCCUUUUUAAUGUACACAUUUGCAUUUUGUCCCAGAGGGCACUUGGGCCAAUCCACAGGAAAUGUCAUCUCCUGUCUGCCAGUUUUAAAUUUCAUUCCAAGGAAGGGCUGCCAUUAUAGAGGUAAGCCAAUAGCCACUAAUCGCCAUACACCAGGACUUUGAAUUGAGCCUGGGAAUUUGUGUGCAAGCGUGAAUCUUCCCAGAAAUUAACCCAGUGACAAGGUUGCGAGUUAGAGAUGGCAUUUCCCAUCUCGUCCCAGAAGCAGUUAUGUCAGGGGAAGCCGAGUUCUGCCUGCUGCCGUUUGUCUUUUGUUUUGUUUUGUCCAACAGUGGACUAUCAUCUAAGUUAAACGACCUAACCUUUAAGUAAGGUUAUAUAUCUGUUUCCUGCCUCCUGCCCCUUUUGCAGAAUGCUGGCUUAUUGAAACACAAUAACAGGAGACAAUUGUCCUGGUUAACUUUGUAUUGUCAACUUCAUACAACGUACAGAAAGAUCAGUUGGUUACGGUUUGAGUCCGAUUUACCGUCGUCUGUGCCUGGGUCAGCUCCUGUUAGUUUGGUUUUUUUGUUUUUAUUUUUGUUUUC